Molecule: ribosomal RNA, 261 nt
Filed under: uncultured prokaryote
Description: partial 16S ribosomal RNA
Rfam family: Bacterial small subunit ribosomal RNA
Source: RNAcentral
UACGGAGGAUCCAAGCGUUAUCCGGAUUUAUUGGGUUUAAGGGGUGCGCAGGCGGGAGAUUAAGUCGGUGGUGAAAUUUUGCAGCUCAACUGUAAAAGUGCCAUUGAUACUGGUUUUCUAGGAUUUGGUUGUAGUGUGCGGAAUGUGUGGUGUAGCGGUGAAAUGCUUAGAUAUCACACAGAACACCGAUUGCGCAGGCAGCUUACUAAACUACUACUGACGCUCAGGCACGAAGGCGUGGGGAUCAAACAGGAUUAGAUA